RNAcentral lists this ribosomal RNA (293 nucleotides) under uncultured bacterium. Its description in RNAcentral is "partial 16S ribosomal RNA". The record is from RNAcentral.
GGACUACAGGGGUUUCUAAUCCUGUUUGCUCCCCACGCGGUCGUCGUCCAGUGUCAGGGUCGCGCCAGCACCCCGGCUUCCCCACGGGUAUUCUUCCUGAUCUCUACACAUUUCACUGCUCCACCAGGAGUUCUAGGUGCCUCUCACGCCCUCAAGCCCGGCCGUUUCGGCGGACGCCGCCCGGUUAAGCCGAGCGAUUUCACACACCGACGCACCGCGCCACCUACCGACGCUUUACGCCCAGUAAUUCCGGACAACGCUUGCCUCCUACGUAUUACCGCGGCUGCUGGCAC